GCGAGCGCGGCGCACGUCCUCGGGGCGGCGGGGGGCGGAGGGGAGGCCCCGCGCGGGGCCGGAUGCCGAGAGCGGCGCCGCCUGGAGGCGCGCCAGGGUCCUGCCCUGCGACGGGGGCCGGGAGGAGAUAAGGAAACUGAGCUCCCAGAAGUGAAGCGACUGGCCCCAGCGCUCCAGCCAGGGCGGAAAGGGCAUUCCGGCCACCCAGCGGAACCCCCCUCCCCUUCGGCCCGGCCCCAGGGCGGGGCCUCAGCGUUGUCUCCGGCCGCCCAGCCCGCGCUGACCCCAAAAGGAAAUGUGUGGCGUGGGGCUGAGUGAGCCCCUGGCCUCGCCCCUGAUCUGAGCAGGCCGGCUCGCCUUCCUCUCCCUCCGUUUCUCUUUGUGAAGGCUGGAAGCUGGCCAGUUGUCCUCUUGAGGGUCAGAGGAGCUGAAGCGGGGAUAGGGCGUUGGGCAGGGCCGCUGCUCCCCGCUAUUCCCUUCACCUCCCACCUCCGACACACACCCAUCGCCCCCUCCAAGACUUUGCUGGUGCGGGCCUCCUCCCCUGGGAGAACUUCCCUCCUCCUAGGCUGCCAGGCACCCCGAGGAGGAACAAAGUCCUGGGCGCCGUGUGUUUCUGCCAACAGUGCAAGAGCGUCUUUUCCAUCGAGCACCUCAGCUUCCAAAGGAGCCCGGAGGGGUGAGGCCGAGGCUGGGAGUGUCGGCGCUCGGGACCGUCCCUGCCCCUAGGGGGAGCUAAGAGUCAGCGCGGAGGGAGCGUUAACUGCACGGCGUGGGAGUCUGGGCCGCCCGGUCCCCUGGGGAGAUGACAAAUGAAUUGGGCCUCGGAGGCAAGGACUCUUGGGAUCCUUCUGACCUGGCGCCUGAAGGGAGGAGAACCGCGCCUCGAUUUUACUGCCUGGAAAAUGGGUUGUGGGUGGGUGGAACAGAACGGCUGAGGCCACUCCAGCGAGACCAAGAGCAAACCAGACAUUGCCCUGCUCUUUGGGACAAGAAGUGAAGUCGAAUUUACAGAGCGUUCAUCCGACAGCGCCAGUGGGGAGCCUGUGUUCCGCCCCACACUGGGGCGGUCUGUCAGAUCGCUCCUAUAGGUGCUCAAUAAAUACUUUUGGAAUGUUUUU
This 1121-nucleotide long non-coding RNA is filed under the name Equus caballus (horse). Its description in RNAcentral is "lncRNA (ENSECAG00000059933.1)". Lineage: Eukaryota; Metazoa; Chordata; Mammalia; Perissodactyla; Equidae. The record is from RNAcentral.